This 501-nucleotide ribosomal RNA is filed under the name uncultured bacterium. Its description in RNAcentral is "partial 16S ribosomal RNA". It matches the Rfam family "Bacterial small subunit ribosomal RNA", at positions 30 to 523 of the family's 1533-position model. The record is from RNAcentral.
AUUGAACGCUGGCGGCAUGCCUUACACAUGCAAGUCGAACGGCAGCACGGGUGCUUGCACCUGGUGGCGAGUGGCGGACGGGUGAGUAAUACAUCGGAACGUACCUUAUCGUGGGGGAUAACGCAGCGAAAGCUGUGCUAAUACCGCAUACGCCCUGAGGGGGAAAGCGGGGGAUCGCAAGACCUCGCGCGAUUAGAGCGGCCGAUGCCUGAUUAGCUUGUUGGUGGGGUAAAAGCCCACCAAGGCGACGAUCAGUAGCUGGUCUGAGAGGACGAUCAGCCACACUGGGACUGAGACACGGCCCAGACUCCUACGGGAGGCAGCAGUGGGGAAUUUUGGAUAAUGGGGGCAACCCUGAUCCAGCAAUGCCGCGUGAGUGAAGAAGGCCUUCGGGUUGUAAAGCUCUUUUGUCAGGGAAGAAACACCGGCUCUAACACAGUCCGGGAAUGACGGUACCUGAAGAAUAAGCACCGGCUAACUACGUGCCAGCCGCCGCCGUAA